Molecule: long non-coding RNA, 298 nt
Filed under: Helianthus annuus (common sunflower)
Lineage: Eukaryota; Viridiplantae; Streptophyta; Magnoliopsida; Asterales; Asteraceae
Description: hypothetical non coding rna
Source: RNAcentral
UAAUAUAUAUAAUUCAUUAUUGUGUUAAUAAAUUUCUUAUAAACAAAGUUGCAUAUUGAAUUAAAUAACAAAAAUUGAAUUACAAACAAAAUUUACAAAUAAAAAACAAUAAAAUCCACAAAUCUAUAGUGAACUCCCUCUUGCAAAGCUUAGCAGGAAUGGUAGUACUUAUGAUUACCCGGAUGUGAUGGUUGCGGACCUUGUGAUGAGAAGCCGUCACACUCACCUGAGAACACCUCCUUGAAUCCAACUGAGGAUCAUUAACGACCCUAGCUUCCUGAAGAACUGCUCCUUUCUU